CAUUGGUGAGAAUCCAAUGCCCCGAAAACCCAAGGGUUCCUCCGCAAGGUUCAUCCACGGAGGGUGAGUCAAGGCCUAAGAUCAGGCCAAAAGGCGUAGUCGAUAGACAACAGGUGAAUAUUCCUGUACUACCUCUUGGUCCCUAUCAAUGCAUUAUAAAUAAAUAAUAAGUUUGGAGAAUUGAAAUUUAAUUCAUUCCAUCCAAUUUGUGAGUGAAACUUUUAGUACAAAAGUGUUCUUUCUUUUUUAUGAUAUAUAUUUAAUUUGAUAUAUGAAUUUAUUUGUUUAUUCAUGAUAUUAGUAACUAGCAUUUGGAUGAUAUUGACG
Ribosomal RNA from Gossypium raimondii (Peruvian cotton), 327 nucleotides. It matches the Rfam family "Bacterial large subunit ribosomal RNA", at positions 1316 to 1688 of the family's 2925-position model. The record is from Rfam. Lineage: Eukaryota; Viridiplantae; Streptophyta; Magnoliopsida; Malvales; Malvaceae.